Long non-coding RNA from Bos taurus (domestic cattle), 1422 nucleotides. The record is from Ensembl. Lineage: Eukaryota; Metazoa; Chordata; Mammalia; Artiodactyla; Bovidae.
UGAAAGAAAACCGCCGAUCCCGAUUCUAUAGCCGUGUCCACCUCUCGGCGACCCCAUGGACUGUAGUCCGCCGGGCUCCUCUGUCCAUGGGAUUUCCAGGCAAGAAUCCUGGAGUGGGUUACCAUUUCCUCCUCCAUUCCUUCAGAAAUGAAGGGAAGGGUGGAAGACACUCUCAGGAAUUGGAGUGAAAACUGACCUUUUCCAGUCCUGUGGCCACUGCUGAGUUUUCCAACUUUGCUGGCAUAUUGAGUGCAGCACUUUCACAGCAUCAUCUUCAGGAUUUGAAAUAGCUCAACUGGAAUUCCAUCACCUCCACUAGCUUCAUUCAAAGUGAUGCUUCCUAAGGCCCACUUGACUUCACAUUCCAGGAUGUCUGGCUCUAGAGAAAGAAUUCACAGAAUGAGAUGAAAAGUUCUGCUCAGGGGUCGUCCUAUUUAUGACUGCCCCAUUGGCUCCUCCAGGCAACCGAGGCAGACAGAGGAAGUACCUUCAGUUCCCCGGCCUCCCGCACUUCCCACCCAACCACGAGGCCCACAUCACUGUGCCCCUGGAGCCCUUCUGAACAAGGUCCCUGACCCGUCCUCAGACAUCCCGUCUGUGUUGUCCCAUCUGCCUCCUUCCUGGUCCUCCAGCCCAGGCCCCACCCCUUACUCCCGUUCAUCUCUCACUACCUCCCAAAGGACCUCACCCGUAUCAGGUCUGAGCCUGCCCCGUUCAAAAUCCUUUCAACAGUUUCCACCUUCAAAAACGUGGGCCCAGGUGCACCGCCCCAUGUUCCAGGCUUUGGCGGGUCAGCCCCACUAAACAGCUCUCCCUCCUAGACCAGACUCGUCACACUUAACCACAUAUCCCCAAGCACCCACAAACACAGACCUACUUAACAACUCUGUGCCUCCACAGACCGUCCCCUCAGCCAGUCUGAACAGGGCUGUCCCUUCCAACCUGCUGGACCAAGAAGCCUUCCUUUCUUAUUCCAGUGUAAAAUACGUGAAGUCACUCGGUCAUGUCCAACUCUUUGCAACCCCAUGGACUGUAGCCCGCCAGGUUCCUCUGUCCAAGGGAUUUUCCAGGCAAGAAUACUGGAGUGGGUUGCCAUUUCCUUCUCCAGGGGAUCUUCAUGACCCAGGGAUUGAACCUGGGUCUCCCUCACUGCAGGUAGACGGUACCGUCUGAGCUACCAGGGAAACCCAGUGUAAAUAUAUUUCGAGUUAUACGUUCCCGUAAGGUUUAUCUAUGUGAACGACUUAAAACACUGGUCAACACGCCAUCCAGAAGCCAGAUCAAUGUUGGUAUUUUACUGUGAAUGGGGUUCAUUAUCAAUAGAGCCCUCUUGCGUUACACUCUCCACAUGGUGGUAAUCUUUCUAAACUAGAAAUCACUUAAUACUGUCUGCUGCUGAAAACCUUCCCACUGCUUUAAAGA